GAAAUCGUACCCCAAACCGACACAGGUGGUCAGGUAGAGAAUACUCAGGCGCUUGAGAGAACUCGGGUGAAGGAACUAGGCAAAAUGGUGCCGUAACUUCGGGAGAAGGCACGCUGGCGCUAGGUGAAGAGACUUGCUCUCGGAGCUGAAGCCAGUCGCAGAUACCAGCUGGCUGCAACUGUUUAAUAAAAACACAGCACUGUGCAAACACGAAAGUGGACGUAUACGGUGUGACGCCUGCCCGGUGCUGGAAGGUUAAUUGAUGGGGUCAGCCGCAAGGCGAAGCUCUUGAUCGAAGCCCCAGUAAACGGCGGCCGUAACUAUAACGGUCCUAAGGUAGCGAAAUUCCUUGUCGGGUAAGUUCCGACCUGCACGAAUGGCGUAAUGAUGGCCAGGCUGUCUCCACCCGAGACUCAGUGAAAUUGAACUCGCUGUGAAGAUGCAGUGUACCCGCGGCAAGACGGAAAGACCCCGUGAACCUUUACUAUAGCUUGACACUGAACAUUGAGCCUUGAUGUGUAGGAUAGGUGGGAGGCAU
Molecule: ribosomal RNA, 538 nt
Filed under: Yersinia massiliensis
Lineage: Bacteria; Pseudomonadati; Pseudomonadota; Gammaproteobacteria; Enterobacterales; Yersiniaceae
Description: partial 23S ribosomal RNA
Rfam family: Bacterial large subunit ribosomal RNA
Source: RNAcentral